Long non-coding RNA from Myotis daubentonii (Daubenton's bat), 3534 nucleotides. RefSeq lists it as uncharacterized. The record is from RefSeq and is a predicted model, not a curated record. NCBI's taxonomy places the organism in Eukaryota, Metazoa, Chordata, Mammalia, Chiroptera, Vespertilionidae.
CCGAGGGGCACUUGGCCAGACUGGUGCAGUUGUGCAACCGGAGAGCGGGGACCCGGGUGUGGCCGCCUACUUCUGGACUCUUCGCCCUUAGAAUCUCGAGAAAUAGACACCUUUUCUGCAGUCCGCCCCGGCUUAGCUAGAAGAAUUUGCCAACCCAAAUCUGAUCCGGGACCGUGCGGAUGGGAAAGCGGACCACAAAAACAAAUUGGAUACCUGCUGUGUGUCAGGCUCUGUGGAGGGACCAGGGACCUCCUACACUCAAGGACCCACAGUCCAGAAGGAAAGACAAACAAACAAAUCCACAAGCAAGUGACCGCAGGAACUUCUCACUUCUCACCAGGAAGCAUAUAAAAUGAGAAAAAGGCAGGAUGGAAUCCAGAGAAGAAGGCAGUGGAGCCCAGGAAAGAGUGUCAGUGGGGCAGAAGGAAGCUAAGAGAGAAGUGGUGCUAAAGGCCAAGGGAAGGGCCUUCUAAAAGGAAGGGCUGGUCCACAAUAAAAAAAUGUCACUCAAAGGUUGGGUGGGACAAUGUAUGAAGAGUGUCCUUUUGAUCUGACAGCUGAGAGGUUUUUGAUAACAGUCAGUGGGUAAAACUGGGAAGGAGACAGUGUUUCUCUGCGGGGCCCGCAGUUUGGACAGGCCCCUUCACUUUGGGUGGUGUUUUUUUCUACCACCACGCACCCCAGGAAGGGACGUUACCCUGGAGCUUCUGGCUGACAUCCCAGUGUCCUCCAAUGCCACUGAAGCAUACUUGUCCUUUCUGCCAUCUCCAGACUCUCGGUCAACUUUGCUCCACUCCAUAGUGAUGUUUUCCUGAGUAAAUCAGAAAAAAAAAAAAGAAAAAAAAGAAUCCUUGUAGACAGGCAACGACUAAUUAGCAAAUAUGCAAAGCUCUCAGCCUCCUUUCCCUAACGCCAUCAUGGAUCUGAGUAGGAGCUUCAUGCAUCUGACUGUAGAAUGAAGCCUCCGUGGUGAAGUUCUCUCCAUCCUUCGGGGUUUGGGUUUAUGAAAACAAAGGAGAGGAAGGUGCUGGUCAGGUGGAGAAUAUGUGUAGACCACCGGAGCCUUGCUCUGUACUAUGGUCUGAAUGUUUGUGUCCCCCUCAAAUUCAUAAGUCGAAAUGUUAAUGCCCAUCUCCAUGGCAUUAGUAGGUGGGGGUGCUUCUGGGGGGUGAUUAGGUCAUGAGGGCAGAGCUUUAUGCCCUUGAAAACAAAUGCCCAAGAGAGCUCCCUUGCCUCUCUGUCAUGUGAAGAAACAAGGAGACGACUCAACUCAGAAGCGGGCCCUCACUCAAACAUGCUGCACCCUGAUGUUGGACGUCCAGCCUCCAGCACUGUGAGAAAUGCAUUCCUGUUGUCUCUAAGCUCCCUAGUCCAUAGUUUGUUUGUUUUUCUAUAGCAUCCCAAAUGGACCAAGACACUGUGCUUCUCAGAUCACAUGGGCUUGUGCAUGGAUGGCAGAAGGAGUAGAGGGGAGGGGAGGAGACAGAAGGAUGGAGAGACAGAGGCAGAAGAGAAAAAAAUAAACUGCAGAGGAAGUAGUUUUAAGUUUUCACUACCAGACAAGAACUAACUGACAAGAACUCAAGUCACACACAUGCCUAUAGUUAGGUUUUCUGUCUCAUCCUUUAUGUUCCCUCCAGAUAGUAAAACACCUAAAAGUACCUUCAGGCCUAUUCUUCAGCAUGACAAAAUUUCCUGCUUCUUGUCUAUGUGGACCAAAGAGGACUGAGAUUACAUCUUUUCUUUUCCCCCCCAGGGAUUUAUUAGAGAGUCUCUUGGGAUUAAAUGUCUGCGGAAGGGAGGCGAGGAUGGGCAAAGGCAGCAGUUGAGCUGGGAUGCCUAUCUAGGAGAAGCCGCAGAUAACCUGCAGGGAAGGAUGAAAUGGGAUGCCCUUUAGAGAUCGCCUCAGAGAUGGCUGGUGCUGGCAAGAAAGGGCCUUUGAACCUGGAAUCAACCAGUCCCUGGAUAUGAUUGAGGGAAGGGAACAUGGCUUUAGGGGAGGAAGGUAGCUCCCUUGAGCUGUGGCAACCCCCAAAGGGGACUGGAAGAUGAGGGCUGUCUGUUGGUGGCACUCCCAGAGGCUGAGAUAAGGGCUCUUUUAUUCCUGAAGGGGAUUCAGGUAGCUUAUAUCACCCAUUACACUCUUCAAUGUUAUAUAAUAUCAUACAAUUUUGCAGAUAGAAUGGAGGAGGGAAUAAAUAUUGCAAAAGCAUGUUGUCAAAUUGCUAUUGAACAGAACAUUAGGUUUAAAAAUAUUACCCAUUCAAUUAAAUUUCUCCCCCUCUUAUAAUGACUUUUGCCUCCAAGGGUGUCACUGAAGAGCAAUUGGUUUCACAGAGCAGCCAAGCUGUUAAUAUGACUAUCUAGAUAUAGAGAAACAAUGUUUUUACGAUGGUGAUUGCUAAGAAUGGUUAGAAAUAAAGGGAAAAUAAAAUUUUUAUGUUGUGUUUUAUCUAGUAACAUUAAAACAAAAAAGAUUGCUCUAUAGGUUUGGCAGCAGGCCAGGAGAUAGGUAUAAGACACUCCCAGCUUGCCACGAAGUUCUAAGAGUCUCCAUCUGUCUUCUGCAUCCAUCGCUAAUUCCCCUCAGGUUUGCAGCUUUCCAUCCUUGGUUUACGAAAAGAGCUCAGUUCUCAGGGUUAGUACAAUCUGCGGGCCAGCAAAUAACUAGCACUGCGGAAUCGCCUUCUUCAAGGUUUACAGUCCUCGAUGGCUCCUAGAUGCCUCUGGAUGAGGUUUAGACCCCUUAAUAUGGUCUCCCAGGUGCUGCAAGAUCUGACCUGGUGGCUCCACAUGCCUUUAUCCCCCUUGCUCUCCUCUUUCAGAUCCUGGAUAUGCUUUUGCUUUUGCUCAUUUCCCAUCCCCCAAAAUAUCCCUCUCUUCCCAUUCCCAAAGCUCUCUCCAACUUUCCCUGGCAUUUCAUUAUAUUGUAACUGUCUAUACCCCAAAUAAGGUCCAGAAUCUGCAUGGCUCCGUCCUAAAUGCAGAUUGUAUUUAAAGCAACAGUGGUCCAGCAUUGCAAAGGUAAUUGAAAGCAUUUUAAUUUUUACCGCAAUUGAAAAUGCCUGAGUGGGCACACAGUCUGAACAUUCAGCCCGAACAUCUUAAUCCUUUCUUUACCUUAUUCCCAUUAACUCCCCCAUGCUCUGAAACGUGUAUAUGCUCCAAAACCAACCAGGAGGUGUGAUAAAGAAAGGGUUUGGGAAUUUGGUUUUGUUUGCUAGUGUAAAUACAUUUUUUAUUGAUUUCAGAGAGGAAAAGAGAGGGAGAGACAUAGACACAUCAUUGAUAACAGAGAAUCAUUGAUUGGCUGCCUCCUGCACGCCCCCUACUGGGGAUUGAGCCUGCAACUUGGGCAUGUGGCCCAAUCAGGACUCAAACCAUGACCUCCUGGUUCAGAGGUCAAAGCUCCACCAUUGAAUCACACUGGCCAGGCUGUUUGUUUUUCAGGUGAUGAAAACGUUCUAAAACUGGCAAUUUAUGUGCCUGAAUAAAAUGGAAAAAUAUACUAAAAACAUCGGAUUGUACACUUUA